RNAcentral lists this ribosomal RNA (253 nucleotides) under uncultured bacterium. RNAcentral's name for it is "partial 16S ribosomal RNA". It matches the Rfam family "Bacterial small subunit ribosomal RNA", at positions 524 to 776 of the family's 1533-position model. The record is from RNAcentral.
UACGAGGGGGGCAAAUGUUGUUCGGAAUCACUGGGCGUAAAGGGAGCGUAGGCGGGUUUCUAAGUCAGGUGUUUAAUCCCGGGGCCCAACCCCGGACAGGCACUUGAAACUGGGAAUCUUGAAUAGUGGAGAGGUCAGUGGAAUUGGGGGUGUAGCGGUGAAAUGCGUAGAUAUCUGGAGGAACACCGGUGGCGAAGGCGGCAUCCUGGACCGAGAUUGACGCUGAUGCGCGAAAGCCAGGGGAGCAAACGGG